UAUAAAUUGAGACCAUUGAUUUAUAAAUCAAAAAUUUUACCAAACAAGUUUUUAUUUGAGUUUUUAAAAUUUUUGUAAAUAUAAACAGAAAACUGAAAACGUAAGUGUUACCAAACGGCACCUUUGCAUUUCGGUAAUUCAUAGUGCCUCGUGAGAAAUAAAAUGAAAAGGGAAGUAACUUGUUCUGCCUUAGUUUCAUGUAAUUGUGAAACUGAUAAGUUGACUCCUUUACAUUGGUUCUAUUGGGUCUAAAUUUAAUCCACGCACCAUACCAGCUUGGGUUACUAAGGGAUAUUCAGAGGAGAGGAGAUUGAUGAAUCAAUCCCAUUUGGCAAUCCUCAAAAGCAUAGACAUUACAAAGAGAGUAGUAGCCAGAAUGGUUGGUUGCACCUCUGUAGCUCACCAAAUUAGGCUUUCCAACAACUCAAACAUUACCCAAUUGACUAAAAAUUGGCUCAGAGGAAGCAAACUUAGCUAUCACUCUUAGGAGCUCUAGAGUCCACAAGGCAAAGGUAUUUUUGAUGAGUUAAAAAAAUGAUCUUUUUCUAUUUUUUUGGUUCUUCUCAAUAUAUGGAAAUUUGUUUUUUGAACCACAUGCAAAUUAAAGGUUGGGAACCACGGAUGUGAGUAAAAUUAUUUUGAUACGUAAAAUUAUUUUAAUUUUCUUGUUCUUCUUUAAUGGAAAUUCAACCUCUUACAUAGAAUAUUUGUGGGUAUUAUAUGAUUAAGGACUGAAUAUUUAUUUGGACUGUUUUCUGCCCUGAUAUUCUGCACACAUGGGUGUGUUCUUGUUGUCAUUUCUCAAUUUAGUAAAUUUACUUAAUUUGCACUGAAGUUCUAAUAUAAAUUCCUUGUAUGCUAGCUUAUGUCUUCUCUUUUAUACAAUGAUUGUUUAUUUGUGUUUGUGUGUGGAAUCAAAAGAAAAACAUUCCAAGUAUUUGUUAUUUGAAAUAGUCACCCUUCUCUAGACAUUGUUUUAUUUUUCACAUGUUUGAUAGUGACAAUGUAAAGAAUUUAGAUGAAGGUGCAUAGUUGUGGAUGUUUUUGGGGAUAAAACAAAGAUUUUGGGUCAAGAUUUUUAAGCAUUUUGAAACAAACUAGUGCUGGUCAUAGUUAUAUAAAUGUAAUUUUGGUGAAUAUAAAUGAAACAAAAUAUUUUUGUUAAUUCUUUGUGAUCAAAUAGUUAACUUGUAGAUUAUAAUCCUUGUAAUUUUCCUUUGGUUUUGUUGCUGAAAUACUGAAAAACAAUGGAUUAGCUGUUCAAAAGAGUAAGAUUCUUGAUUUUGUUGUUUAUCAUGAAAGAAAAUAUGUUUCUUCAUAUUUCAUCUCGUAAGCAAAAUGUCGAACUCUUGAUUUCCGUCAAAUUAAAUGGUUACCAUUUUGCAAAGAUUAUGACUUCAGCUGUCGAUAUGAAGGAUGAGUCAAGAGGGCGACCUAUCCAGAAAGCUAAAAUUGAGAUAUUGCUGGGGAAGACUGAGAAAUUUGAUGAAUUGAUGGCAGCUACUACUGCAGAAAGAGAACUUAGAGAAUGUGAAGAGCAGAGUGUUGAAGUGGUACUAUUUUAAUUUCUGGGUUGUUAGUCUUAAUGUAGUACGAGUGAAUGCAAUUUUAACCAGUUUCUUUAAUUAUAGUAGUUUUAGUACGAGUGAAAGUUAGAUAUGUAUAAUUUUGGAUGGUUUAAACUUUUUGUACAGUUUAGAAUUUAAGAAUAUGGUUUUUGAAUAUUUGGAAUGUAUAGACAAUUGUUGAAUGUUUAUAACUUAUGGAUAUAGUUUUUUUUUA
This is a non-coding RNA of Camellia sinensis, 1782 nucleotides long. The record is from RefSeq and is a predicted model, not a curated record. NCBI's taxonomy places the organism in Eukaryota, Viridiplantae, Streptophyta, Magnoliopsida, Ericales, Theaceae.